RNAcentral lists this transfer RNA (85 nucleotides) under Felis catus (domestic cat). It matches the Rfam family "tRNA". From Rfam's summary of the family: Transfer RNA (tRNA) molecules are approximately 80 nucleotides in length. Their secondary structure includes four short double-helical elements and three loops (D, anti-codon, and T loops). The record is from Rfam by way of RNAcentral. Lineage: Eukaryota; Metazoa; Chordata; Mammalia; Carnivora; Felidae.
ACCUGGGUGGCUCAGUCGGUUAAGCGCCUGACUUAGGCUCAGGUCAUGAUCUCCCAGUUUGUGAGUUCAAGCCCCACAUCGGGCU